Molecule: ribosomal RNA, 383 nt
Filed under: Aquamicrobium lusatiense
Lineage: Bacteria; Pseudomonadati; Pseudomonadota; Alphaproteobacteria; Hyphomicrobiales; Phyllobacteriaceae
Description: bacterial SSU rRNA
Rfam family: Bacterial small subunit ribosomal RNA
Source: RNAcentral
AACGAACGCUGGCGGCAGGCUUAACACAUGCAAGUCGAGCGUCCCGCAAGGGGAGCGGCAGACGGGUGAGUAACGCGUGGGAAUCUACCUUUUGCUACGGAAUAACUCAGGGAAACUUGUGCUAAUACCGUAUGUGCCCUUCGGGGGAAAGAUUUAUCGGCAAAGGAUGAGCCCGCGUUGGAUUAGCUAGUUGGUGAGGUAAAGGCUCACCAAGGCGACGAUCCAUAGCUGGUCUGAGAGGAUGAUCAGCCACACUGGGACUGAGACACGGCCCAGACUCCUACGGGAGGCAGCAGUGGGGAAUAUUGGACAAUGGGCGCAAGCCUGAUCCAGCCAUGCCGCGUGAGUGAUGAAGGCCCUAGGGUUGUAAAGCUCUUUCAACG